This 782-nucleotide ribosomal RNA is filed under the name Escherichia coli. Its description in RNAcentral is "partial 23S ribosomal RNA". It matches the Rfam family "Bacterial large subunit ribosomal RNA", at positions 408 to 1191 of the family's 2925-position model. The record is from RNAcentral. Lineage: Bacteria; Pseudomonadati; Pseudomonadota; Gammaproteobacteria; Enterobacterales; Enterobacteriaceae.
AUGAGUAGGGCGGGACACGUGGUAUCCUGUCUGAAUAUGGGGGGACCAUCCUCCAAGGCUAAAUACUCCUGACUGACCGAUAGUGAACCAGUACCGUGAGGGAAAGGCGAAAAGAACCCCGGCGAGGGGAGUGAAAAAGAACCUGAAACCGUGUACGUACAAGCAGUGGGAGCACGCUUAGGCGUGUGACUGCGUACCUUUUGUAUAAUGGGUCAGCGACUUAUAUUCUGUAGCAAGGUUAACCGAAUAGGGGAGCCGAAGGGAAACCGAGUCUUAACUGGGCGUUAAGUUGCAGGGUAUAGACCCGAAACCCGGUGAUCUAGCCAUGGGCAGGUUGAAGGUUGGGUAACACUAACUGGAGGACCGAACCGACUAAUGUUGAAAAAUUAGCGGAUGACUUGUGGCUGGGGGUGAAAGGCCAAUCAAACCGGGAGAUAGCUGGUUCUCCCCGAAAGCUAUUUAGGUAGCGCCUCGUGAAUUCAUCUCCGGGGGUAGAGCACUGUUUCGGCAAGGGGGUCAUCCCGACUUACCAACCCGAUGCAAACUGCGAAUACCGGAGAAUGUUAUCACGGGAGACACACGGCGGGUGCUAACGUCCGUCGUGAAGAGGGAAACAACCCAGACCGCCAGCUAAGGUCCCAAAGUCAUGGUUAAGUGGGAAACGAUGUGGGAAGGCCCAGACAGCCAGGAUGUUGGCUUAGAAGCAGCCAUCAUUUAAAGAAAGCGUAAUAGCUCACUGGUCGAGUCGGCCUGCGCGGAAGAUGUAACGGGGCUAAACCAUG